UGGGGAAUAUUGCAUAAUGGGCGAAAGCCUGAUGCAGCGACGCCGCGUGAGGGAUGACGGCCUUCGGGUUGUAAACCUCUUUCAGUAGGGACGAAGCGCAAGUGACGGUACCUGCAGAAGAAGCACCGGCUAACUACGUGCCAGCAGCCGCGGUAAUACGUAGGGUGCGAGCGUUGUCCGGAAUUACUGGGCGUAAAGAGCUCGUAGGCGGUUUGUCACGUCGUCUGUGAAAUCCUAGGGCUUAACCCUGGACGUGCAGGCGAUACGGGCUGACUUGAGUACUACAGGGGAGACUGGAAUUUCUGGUGUAGCGGUGGAAUGCACAGAUAUCAGGAAGAACACCGAUGGCGAAGGCAGGUCUCUGGGUAGUAACUGACGCUGAGGAGCGAAAGCAUGGGUAGCGAACAGG
This 409-nucleotide ribosomal RNA is filed under the name bacterium. RNAcentral describes it as "partial 16S ribosomal RNA". It matches the Rfam family "Bacterial small subunit ribosomal RNA", at positions 355 to 776 of the family's 1533-position model. The record is from RNAcentral.